RNAcentral lists this long non-coding RNA (937 nucleotides) under Brassica napus (rape). RNAcentral describes it as "long non-coding RNA (BNAP_LNC015161)". Lineage: Eukaryota; Viridiplantae; Streptophyta; Magnoliopsida; Brassicales; Brassicaceae. The record is from RNAcentral.
GUGAAUGGGCUCUACAGAAAUUCAUUAGAGGAGUCAUGUGCGCUUGAAAAGGUAUCUUUCAACCUUCAAAGCAGACAGAUAUUAAUAUUGCAUCUAAAGAAAAACUACUUCAGUCUCGCUACACUUAAUGUACUCUUGUCCUCAAUAAUGAAGAGAAAGGUCUUAACUUUAUGAUCCCAUAUGGCCUAGUCAAGAGAAACGUUGAAACUCUUUAUCAUUUGAGAAAGGUCUUAUAACAUAUGAUUAUUAAUGUUAUACAGGUAACAACAGAAGAUAAUAUGAGAGAAGCAUAUGAGUAUCACCUAUUGUUAGUAUUAUCUGCUGAGGUCUUAUCUCUGCCAUCAUCAUUGGCCCUUGCCACUGUCAUCUAUUAACAUGAGGGCCAAUGAAGCCUCUUGGUACGUCUCCAGAGCUAAUGACGUUUCUGUCAAUCUCACCUCCACGGUUGAAAAACAUAGGGCUGACUUCUAUUCUGAAAAAGGAUUGAUGAAUUAGCCAUUUUAGAAGAAUAUAGACACCGCCUUGCAGAGAUCGAAGAAGAAAAAGACUCUUCGAUUCAUUGUGGAAGAAACACCAAACCCUAAAAUUUUUUUGCGGCUGGUCUCGAUGUCUAUGAAACGCAGAGUUUAAGAUAGCCCCUUACUGAAACGCUGAGUUUUGUUUACAGAGGACACGUGUCGCCUGGACAGAAGCAAACUUUGUGAUCUGGAAUCUGACGUGUCUCUCUCCUGAGACAACACAACUUUAUAAUAAUAGAUAGAUAUAUAAAGUUGUCUACUCUCGAGAGAGACAAAGGAGUGGAAUCGAGCUCUCCUGGAGAAGCUACUACCAAAGCUAUCUGAACACAUCCUGAUGCUACGACCACUGUCUGGACACAAACAAAGAACGACAUUUACUCAGCAAGAUCAGGUUAUCACACUACCCAAGUCUCUAAUAU